Molecule: ribosomal RNA, 672 nt
Filed under: uncultured archaeon
Lineage: Archaea
Description: bacterial SSU rRNA
Rfam family: Archaeal small subunit ribosomal RNA
Source: RNAcentral
AGUCAACAUGCCCAGGGGACGUGGAUAACCUCGGGAAACUGAGGAUAAACCGCGAUAGGCCAUGAUUUCUGGAAUGGUUCAUGGCCGAAAUCUACAUGGCCCCUGGAUUGGACUGCGGCCGAUCAGGCUGUUGGUGAGGUAAUGGCCCACCAAACCUGUAACCGGUACGGGCUCUGAGAGGAGGAGCCCGGAGAUGGGCACUGAGACAAGGGCCCAGGCCCUAUGGGGCGCAGCAGGCGCGAAACCUCUGCAAUAGGCGAAAGCUUGACAGGGUUACUCUGAGUGAUUUCCGUUAAGGAGAUCUUUUGGCACCUCUAAAAAUGGCGCAGAAUAAGGGGUGGGCAAGUCUGGUGUCAGCCGCCGCGGUAAUACCAGCACCCCGAGUGGUCGGGACGUUUAUUGGGCCUAAAGCAUCCGUAGCCGGUUCUACAAAUCUUCCGUUAAAUCCACCUGCUUAACAGAUGGGCUGCGGAGGAUACUAUAAGACUAGGAGGCAGGAGAGGCAAGCGGUACUCAGUGGGUAGGGGUAAAAUCCGUUGAUCCAUUGAAGACCACCAGUGGCGAAGGCGGCUUGCCAAAAUGCGCUCGACGGUGAGGGAUGAAAGCUGGGGGAGCAAACCGGAUUAGAUACCCGGGUAGUCCCAGCUGUAAACGAUGCAAACUCGGUGAUGA